GUCAACGGCCAUACCAUGCUGAAAGUACCGGUUCUCGUCCGAUCACCGAAGUCAAGACCCCUUAUCCAAUUCCUGCUUCUUCUAAUCUUUAACUUUUCUGUCUACUGUACUUUGCUAUUGUUUACCCUUAAUUAUCUCAGUCUCUCUUAAUUAUGUUGUGGAGGUAAUUGCAUUUAAUUGCAAAGGUACUCCGGAAGUCAACGCCUUGGGCCUUGGGCCGAAGUCAAGCAGCAUCGGGCGCGGUCAGUACUUGGGAGGGUGACCACCUGGAAACACCGCGUGCUGUUGGCA
RNAcentral lists this ribosomal RNA (291 nucleotides) under Stegodyphus mimosarum. The record is from RNAcentral. Lineage: Eukaryota; Metazoa; Arthropoda; Arachnida; Araneae; Eresidae.